Non-coding RNA from Ixodes scapularis (black-legged tick), 73 nucleotides. The record is from Rfam. NCBI's taxonomy places the organism in Eukaryota, Metazoa, Arthropoda, Arachnida, Ixodida, Ixodidae.
UCCUGGUUAGCUCUGUUGGUAGAGCGCUCCACUGGAAAUGGAGAGGUCCCUGUUUUGAUACCGGGAUCAGGCG